GAAACUUAAAGGAAUUGACGGGGCCCGGCACAAGCGGUGGAGUAUGUGGUUAAUUCGAUGCAACGCGAAGAACCUUACCUGGUCUUGACAUCCCGGAGACCCUUAGGAAACUAGGGGUGCUUCCAUCUGGAAGAAUCUGGAGACAGGUGCUGCAUGGCUGUCGUCAGCUCGUGUCGUGAGAUGUUGGGUUAAGUCCCGCAACGAGCGCAACCCUUGCCUUUAGUUGCCAGCAGUUCGGCUGGGCACUCUAAAGGGACUGCCGGUGUUAAACCGGAGGAAGGUGGGGAUGACGUCAAGUCCUCAUGGCCUUUAUGACCAGGGCUACACACGUACUACAAUGGCCGAUACAAAGGGCAGCGACACUGCGAGGUGAAGCCAAUCCCGUAAAAUCGGUCUCAGUCCGGAUUGGAGUCUGCAACUCGACUCCAUGAAGUUGGAAUCGCUAGUAAUCGUGGAUCAGCAUGCCACGGUGAAUACGUUCCCGGGCCUU
RNAcentral lists this ribosomal RNA (490 nucleotides) under uncultured Desulfobulbus sp. Its description in RNAcentral is "bacterial SSU rRNA". It matches the Rfam family "Bacterial small subunit ribosomal RNA", at positions 896 to 1382 of the family's 1533-position model. Lineage: Bacteria; Pseudomonadati; Thermodesulfobacteriota; Desulfobulbia; Desulfobulbales; Desulfobulbaceae. The record is from RNAcentral.